Molecule: ribosomal RNA, 484 nt
Filed under: uncultured bacterium
Lineage: Bacteria
Description: partial 16S ribosomal RNA
Rfam family: Bacterial small subunit ribosomal RNA
Source: RNAcentral
AUUGAACGCUGGCGGCAGGCCUAACACAUGCAAGUCGAGCGGAUGAAGGAAGCUUGCUCCUGUCUUCCGCUGCGGACGGGUGAGUGAUUCCUACGUGUCUACCUUAUCUUUGGGACUAACGUCCCUUCACGGACGCUAAUCCCACAUACGUCCUUAUGUUGAACGUGAUGGUUCUUUGGACCUCGCCCUUUCUGCUGAUCCUAAUUCGUAUUAGCUAGUUGGUUUGGUAAGGGCUUACCAAGGCGACGAUCCGUAACUGGUCUGAGAGGAUGAUCGGUCACACUGGAAAUGAGACACGGUCCAGACUCCUACGGGAGGCAGCAGUAGGGAAUAUUGGGCAAUGGGCGAAAGCCUGAUCGAGCCAAGCCGCGUGUGUGAAGAAGGUCUUCGGAUUGUAAAGCACUGUAAGUAGGGAGGAAGAGAAGUAAGUUAAAACAUGGAUGUCUUGACGGUACCAAAAGAAAAAGCAACGGCUAACUUCGUG